Misgurnus anguillicaudatus (oriental weatherfish) is the source of this 1688-nucleotide non-coding RNA. NCBI's taxonomy places the organism in Eukaryota, Metazoa, Chordata, Actinopteri, Cypriniformes, Cobitidae. The record is from RefSeq and is a predicted model, not a curated record.
UUUCCCCACCGGGCCACAUACGAGGACGGACCUCCUCGCUUCCUGGUUUCCAGGACGACGAAAUCAGGGCUUGACGAGCCGCAGGUGAGAGAGAUUAAGGCAGCGAAAUAUGAUUGGAGGCUGUUUGAAAUAAAGGGCUCUGCUGAAACACAAGAAGGAGUUCGGGCACGAGAAGGGAGCGACGCGGGGAAAGCUCCUCUGCCUAGGGCAGCAAACAGAUACGCACCUUUUGAAGAGCCCGCAGGCUCUGUUGAUCCGGGCUGCGCUUGGAGCGCGCGGAGAGAAGACAGGAGCUGCCUGGGGCGAAAGAAAGGCGAUGCGUGGACAGAGAAAAAGGAGCACCCCGAAGAGAGCAGUGUGUGUCACAUUUAGUUUCUCAGUGGAUGUUACCGUAAGAAGAAACCCUGUGGGUAGAAGAAAACAACGGUAAAUGUGACACGCUUGGAGUAACCAAGGAGUAAGGAAACGAAGCCGUUUGUAAACUGUUUACCAAGAAGACCGCCGUGAGUAUUGGCUCUGGAUUUGAUCCGAAAACAUAGCUACUAACCUGUGUAUUAUUGAACGCUCCAGGAAGAGGAAAGCGGCCCUACCCCCGAUCGAGCGUGGUAGGUGAGCCGCAGGAAUAAGUGGAUUACAUCGCCAUAGCAGCAGACCUAAAAGCCCCGGCCGUAGUGUCAUCGCCCCCAUCUGCCCUUAGCGAAGUGGAGGACGCUGGGCGUCUCGUGUGUGCACCUGUAGUGUGGUGGGUGAGUCCAUGUCCUUUGAAAACCUUUUCACGUUGAAGUGGUGCUGUGUAUUUGCUGUGGGUUGCUGUGCAAGUGCUGUGUGUCUUGUCAGACGUACCCCGCAUCAUCCCCUCCACUGAGGAAGAGACGGAGAGGCUGACGGCUGUGAGUAAACAUUAACUAUUGUAUGCUGUGUGCGAUUUAAGUGAAAGUGACGGUGUGGGCCGUGGAAGUUGCCCCGUCUGUGUGUUGACAGUUUCAGAGUGCGGCGGUGAAGACCUGGAAGCUGGCAGUGUGUGUGUGUGAGUACAAACACGUACCUGUAUAUUGCUACUUUACCUGUGUGUUCUAUCUGUGGCAGAGUGAGGGGCGAAGGAGUUCCGCCGCCCCGUGGUCUCUACAAAGGGGCGCCCCUGUCUGGUAUUCGAUCGGCCUACGGGCAUUGAGGACAGGGCAGCGCUCGGCCCGGUGAGACGGUGUGACGGUUCGCCCCCCUGCUGACCAGCGAGUUCGCCGAGAGGGUUUUGGCCCCCGGCGCCCCCUGGGGAAAUCAUCGCCGUUGCCCUUCUGUGCAGGCCAGCUGUCGUAAGCCCGCCCACGUGCAUUGUCGACCAGAACGCCGUAUAAUGAACUGUGGACAGUCACACAUGCCCGAGCUGUAAACAGCAGAGAGGUGAGAAGUACCCAAGUUGCACUAACUGUGUUGUUGUGUCCAAGCUGCCUGUAAAGGAAGAGAGAGAGAACCAGAGUGAACGUCAGUAGAACGAACUGUGGACAGUCACACAUGCCCGAGCUGUGAACAGCAGAGAGGCGAGAAGUAUCCAAGUUGCACUAACUGUGUUGCUGUGUCCAAGCUGCCUGCAAAGGAGGAGAGCCUGGAGUGGCCGUUAUUUUAAGUCCCCCCUUUUCCCUUCCCUAUUUAUCCUUUUUAAGUAAAUUAAAUAAAGUAUCUUUUAAAUUAUG